Molecule: long non-coding RNA, 380 nt
Organism: Cebus imitator (Panamanian white-faced capuchin)
Lineage: Eukaryota; Metazoa; Chordata; Mammalia; Primates; Cebidae
Exons: 3
Source: RefSeq, a predicted model, not a curated record
AUAAUUUAAAAUUGACAGGCAGCUAGUGCUAGACUUAUGACCACGGUCUGGACCGCGGACCAGUUGUAACACGAUUUGGUCGUAAGCUGAGUAGGCUAUAUGUACAGUUGAAAUGGUGCACGCGGAGAUGGUAGUGCUGCCGGAAGCUGGUCUGCACUGUUGUACGCCCAGCUGGGCAAUGUCUGCGCUGCCAGACGCGGAGCAGUUGUGGCUAGCGAUUGUGGUCGUAAAGUCGAAUGGUCGUAAGUUGCAUAGGUCGUAAGUCGAUCAAUACCUGAUCGAAUGCUUACGCUUUGGGCAAGAAACAGCCCAUGUUAAUUGUGCCAUGUCUUCCAAUUUUAAUUACAGAUAUAAAGUGUAGAUAUAAAGUGUUGAGGAAA